RNAcentral lists this transfer RNA (30 nucleotides) under Gyrodactylus albolacustris x Gyrodactylus botnicus. RNAcentral describes it as "partial tRNA-Trp". Lineage: Eukaryota; Metazoa; Platyhelminthes; Monogenea; Gyrodactylidea; Gyrodactylidae. The record is from RNAcentral. RNAcentral also lists the same sequence under 1 other name.
AAACAAAAAGUGCAUGAUAUGCACUCCCUG